Molecule: ribosomal RNA, 764 nt
Filed under: uncultured Streptococcus sp.
Lineage: Bacteria; Bacillati; Bacillota; Bacilli; Lactobacillales; Streptococcaceae
Description: bacterial SSU rRNA
Rfam family: Bacterial small subunit ribosomal RNA
Source: RNAcentral
GACGAACGCUGGCGGCGUGCCUAAUACAUGCAAGUAGAACGCUGAAGGAGGAGCUUGCUUCUCCGGAUGAGUUGCGAACGGGUGAGUAACGCGUAGGUAACCUGCCUGGUAGCGGGGGAUAACUAUUGGAAACGAUAGCUAAUACCGCAUAAGAGUAGAUGUUGCAUGACAUUUGCUUAAAAGGUGCAAUUGCAUCACUACCAGAUGGACCUGCGUUGUAUUAGCUAGUUGGUGGGGUAACGGCUCACCAAGGCGACGAUACAUAGCCGACCUGAGAGGGUGAUCGGCCACACUGGGACUGAGACACGGCCCAGACUCCUACGGGAGGCAGCAGUAGGGAAUCUUCGGCAAUGGACGGAAGUCUGACCGAGCAACGCCGCGUGAGUGAAGAAGGUUUUCGGAUCGUAAAGCUCUGUUGUAAGAGAAGAACGAGUGUGAGAGUGGAAAGUUCACACUGUGACGGUAUCUUACCAGAAAGGGACGGCUAACUACGUGCCAGCAGCCGCGGUAAUACGUAGGUUCCGAGCGUUAUCCGGAUUUAUUGGGCGUAAAGCGAGCGCAGGCGGUUAGAUAAGUCUGAAGUUAAAGGCUGUGGCUUAACCAUAGUACGCUUUGGAAACUGUUUAACUUGAGUGCAGAAGGGGAGAGUGGAAUUCCAUGUGUAGCGGUGAAAUGCGUAGAUAUAUGGAGGAACACCGGUGGCGAAAGCGGCUCUCUGGUCUGUAACUGACGCUGAGGCUCGAAAGCGUGGGGGAGCAAACAGG